Molecule: ribosomal RNA, 490 nt
Filed under: uncultured bacterium
Lineage: Bacteria
Description: partial 16S ribosomal RNA
Rfam family: Bacterial small subunit ribosomal RNA
Source: RNAcentral
AUUGAACGCUGGCGGCAGGCCUAACACAUGCAAGCCGAACGGUAACAGGAAGAAGCUUGCUUCUUUGCUGACGAGUGGCGGACGGGUGAGUAAUGUCUGGGAAACUGCCUGAUGGAGGGGGAUAACUACUGGAAACGGUAGCUAAUACCGCAUAACGUCGCAAGACCAAAGAGGGGGACCUUCGGGCCUCUUGCCAUCGGAUGUGCCCAGAUGGGAUUAGCUAGUAGGUGGGGUAACGGCUCACCUAGGCGACGAUCCCUAGCUGGUCUGAGAGGAUGACCAGCCACACUGGAACUGAGACACGGUCCAGACUCCUACGGGAGGCAGCAGUGGGGAAUAUUGCACAAAGGGCGCAAGCCUGAUGCAGCCAUGCCGCGUGUAUGAAGAAGGCCUUCGGGUUGUAAAGUACUUUCAGCGGGGAGGAAGGGAGUAAAGUUAAUACCUUUGCUCAUUGACGUUACCCGCAGAAGAAGCACCGGCUAACUCCGUG